Tympanuchus pallidicinctus (lesser prairie-chicken) is the source of this 1415-nucleotide long non-coding RNA. RefSeq lists it as uncharacterized. The transcript is spliced from 2 exons. NCBI's taxonomy places the organism in Eukaryota, Metazoa, Chordata, Aves, Galliformes, Phasianidae. The record is from RefSeq and is a predicted model, not a curated record.
AUGGGAAUCAUUCUUAAGAAGUCACUUGGCGGAGUAAACGUUAGAUAAAAAAUAGUAAUUUAUUUGGAGGAUUUGGCUACAGCUACCAAGUCCCCUCUUCAGCCUAGGGUUGUAAACCUUGUCUUCUCACAGAAUCACAGAAUGGCCAGGGUUGGAAGGGACCUCAAGGAUCGUGAAUCUUCAACCCUCCUGCCAUGUGCAGGGCCACCAACCUCCCCAUUUAAUACUAGACCAGGCUGCCCAGGGCCCCAUCCAGUCUGGCCUUGAACACCUCCAGGGAUGGGGCAUCCUCAACCUCUCUGGACAGCCUGUGCCAGCACCUCACCACUCUCAUAGUAAAGAACUUUCCCCCCGCAUCCAACCUAAAUCCUCCCUCCCUCAACUUGAAACCAUUUUGCCUUAUCCCGCUGUUAUCUACCCUUUCAAAGAGUUGAUUCUCCUCCUGUUUGUAGGCUCCCUUUUAGGUACUCUCCGUGUGAGUGUUUAGGUAAGUACAAGCAGCUACUGGCAGCAUGGUUACUUGGCACAGAUGUGGCAAUUUGUGCUUUCAGUUCUCCCCUUGCAAUCUGCUUCCUUGUUGGGCUGGAGAAUGUAAUGAGGAAAUAGUCUGGAACAAAGAGUUGAGGGAAGAAACUGCUGUAUGGAGGGGUGGGAGGAAAAAAAAAUAGAGGCAAGAAUACGCUGAACUUGUAACAGUGGAUGCUUGAAAGGGGAAGAGAAGGCAGAGAGCAUGCUGAUUGGUAGACUGUACUUCCCUCUGAUAUGGAGUACAGUCAUCACUGUCCUACCUAUGCCUCUGAGUAUUAAACCUCAUUGAUAAAAAGUUAGAUAUUACUAUAUUUUUGAUUCUUGACCUAAGCCAGACUUCUCACUUAUGGAUCUCUCCCUUAGCUCAAAUGUCAAGGUGCUUUAGUAGGAGUCUUAAUUGUGCGACCCACAUAUGGAGUUGGUUAAUUUCCCAAAUCACUUUGUGUGUCUUUGUGCAUAAAAUCAGACAGUCUUCUAUGUUACUUUAAAAUGCAUUUUAUUUUCCUCAUGCAGUUGUUUUUAGCAUGCAAAAUAGACAAUACUUUCUCGUUUAGCUUUCCAUACAUUUAUCCCUAGUUCUAUUUUCUUUAUCCAUAGCUCAUCAUUUUUAGCUCACUGAAUUAAUAGCGUGCCAGCAGCAAUGUUCUCUGAAGGCAUUAUUCUGUGGGCUCUCUGUCGUUUCAGCAUUGGCUGAUAUUAAUGUGUUUCCUCACAACAUCCCUUCUAGAUGGAGGAGGAAGGUGUUGGAGCUCAGUAAAAAAUGGACCUAAUUUUGCAUUCCCUACUUAUGAUGGCAGAAGAGCAGGUUAUUCUCUAGAGAGCACGAAACUGUUUGCAGCUCAGCUUUUUAACAUUAAUUUCAUCAGCAUUUCUGAGAAAAGGAUGUG